Molecule: ribosomal RNA, 468 nt
Filed under: uncultured bacterium
Lineage: Bacteria
Description: partial 16S ribosomal RNA
Rfam family: Bacterial small subunit ribosomal RNA
Source: RNAcentral
GACGAACGCUGGCGGCGUGCUUAACACAUGCAAGUCGAACGGAAAGGCCCUGCUUUUGUGGGGUGCUCGAGUGGCGAACGGGUGAGUAACACGUGAGUAACCUGCCCUUGACUUUGGGAUAACUUCAGGAAACUGGGGCUAAUACCGGAUAGGAGCUCCUGCUGCAUGGUGGGGGUUGGAAAGUUGCGGCGGUUGGGGAGGGGCGCGCGGCGUGGCCGCUGGUGGGGGGGGUAGGGGCUUACCCAGGCGGUGACGGGCCGCCGGCCGGGGAGGGUGACCGGGCACAUGGGGACUGAGGUACGGCCCAGACGGCUACGGGAGGCAGCAGUGGGGAAUAUUGCACAAUGGGCGGAAGCCUGAUGCAGCAACGCCGCGUGCGGGAUGACGGCCUUCUGGUUGUAAACCGCUUUCGCCUGUGACGAAGCGUGAGUGACGGUAAUGGGUAAAGAAGCACCGGCUAACUACGUG